Molecule: ribosomal RNA, 688 nt
Filed under: Escherichia coli
Lineage: Bacteria; Pseudomonadati; Pseudomonadota; Gammaproteobacteria; Enterobacterales; Enterobacteriaceae
Description: partial 23S ribosomal RNA
Rfam family: Bacterial large subunit ribosomal RNA
Source: RNAcentral
GUGGGUAGUUUGACUGGGGCGGUCUCCUCCUAAAGAGUAACGGAGGAGCACGAAGGUUGGCUAAUCCUGGUCGGACAUCAGGAGGUUAGUGCAAUGGCAUAAGCCAGCUUGACUGCGAGCGUGACGGCGCGAGCAGGUGCGAAAGCAGGUCAUAGUGAUCCGGUGGUUCUGAAUGGAAGGGCCAUCGCUCAACGGAUAAAAGGUACUCCGGGGAUAACAGGCUGAUACCGCCCAAGAGUUCAUAUCGACGGCGGUGUUUGGCACCUCGAUGUCGGCUCAUCACAUCCUGGGGCUGAAGUAGGUCCCAAGGGUAUGGCUGUUCGCCAUUUAAAGUGGUACGCGAGCUGGGUUUAGAACGUCGUGAGACAGUUCGGUCCCUAUCUGCCGUGGGCGCUGGAGAACUGAGGGGGGCUGCUCCUAGUACGAGAGGACCGGAGUGGACGCAUCACUGGUGUUCGGGUUGUCAUGCCAAUGGCACUGCCCGGUAGCUAAAUGCGGAAGAGAUAAGUGCUGAAAGCAUCUAAGCACGAAACUUGCCCCGAGAUGAGUUCUCCCUGACUCCUUGAGAGUCCUGAAGGAACGUUGAAGACGACGACGUUGAUAGGCCGGAUGUGUAAGCGCAGCGAUGCGUUGAGCUAACCGGUACUAAUGAACCGUGAGGCUUAACCUUACAACGCCGAAGGUGUUU